RNAcentral lists this ribosomal RNA (738 nucleotides) under Triticum aestivum (bread wheat). Its description in RNAcentral is "partial small subunit ribosomal RNA". Lineage: Eukaryota; Viridiplantae; Streptophyta; Magnoliopsida; Poales; Poaceae. The record is from RNAcentral.
AUGGCGCUUGCAUCCGGGUUCUGCCCGCCGCCGUCGUACACCCCGGGUGCGUCCCAGCGCGCCCCCUUCUUCCUGGGCUUCGGCUUCGGCGGCGAGUGCUGCGACCCGUCGUUUGCCGACUACGAGGAGUACGCCCCAUCGAGCCCUUCGCCGCUCACGAGCUCCAAGGACUACACUCCGUCGACCCCCCUGCAGUCGCCGGAGCCGGACUACACUCCGGCGAGCCCCGACUACACUCCAUCAAGCCCAGACUACACUCCGGCGAGCCCAGACUACACUCCAUCAAGCCCCGACUACACUCCGGCGAGCCCAGACUACACUCCGGCGAGUCCUUCGCAGUCGCUCGAGUACACUUCGUCGAGCCCUGUUCGCCUCGCUUUCAUGAUGCCGCCUCCUCCGCGCGGCGCAUCGCCAGACUACACGCCCUUGACGCCGUCAGAGCAUGCUGCUACAUCACCUUACUACACUCCGUCGACUCCUCCCGGGCGCGCUUGUUCGCCUCCGUCCCCACUGGUGGUGUCUGACGCCGAGUCGUGCGCGUCGCCGUAUUACACGCCGUCAACUCCUUCAAGGCGGGCCGCGUCGCCGGACUACACGCCCAGCACGCCGCCUCCAUCGCCCCUGGCGUCAGAAGCAGACUCGACCACGUCUACAGCGCGCUGCCGCCACCAUCCGUACCAGAGGAGCGGCACUGGCCGGAUCAACCGCGGCGGACGUCAGCGAGCCUUGGCAUAUUGA